Molecule: ribosomal RNA, 469 nt
Filed under: uncultured bacterium
Lineage: Bacteria
Description: bacterial SSU rRNA
Rfam family: Bacterial small subunit ribosomal RNA
Source: RNAcentral
CGCUGGCGGCAGGCUUAACACAUGCAAGUCGAGCGGAUGACAGGAGCUUGCUCCUGAAUUCAGCGGCGGACGGGUGAGUAAUGUCUAGGAAUCUGCCUGGUAGUGGGGGACAACGUUUCGAAAGGAACGCUAAUACCGCAUACGUCCUACGGGAGAAAGCAGGGGACCUUCGGGCCUUGCGCUAUCAGAUGAGCCUAGGUCGGAUUAGCUAGUUGGUGGGGUAAUGGCUCACCAAGGCGACGAUCCGUAACUGGUCUGAGAGGAUGAUCAGUCACACUGGAACUGAGACACGGUCCAGACUCCUACGGGAGGCAGCAGUGGGGAAUAUUGGACAAUGGGCGAAAGCCUGAUCCAGCCAUGCCGCGUGUGUGAAGAAGGUCUUCGGAUUGUAAAGCACUUUAAGUUGGGAGGAAGGGCAGUAAAUUAAUACUUUGCUGUUUUGACGUUACCGACAGAAUAAGCACCGGCU